CCUACGGGUGGCAGCAGUGAGGAAUAUUGGUCAAUGGACGAGAGUCUGAACCAGCCAAGUAGCGUGAAGGAUGACUGCCCUAUGGGUUGUAAACUUCUUUUAUAAAGGAAUAAAACGAGGCACGUGUGCCUUUUUGCAUGUACUUUAUGAAUAAGGAUCGGCUAACUCCGUGCCAGCAGCCGCGGUAAUACGGAGGAUCCGAGCGUUAUCCGGAUUUAUUGGGUUUAAAGGGAGCGUAGAUGGGUUGUUAAGUCAGUUGUGAAAGUUUGCGGCUCAACCGUAAAAUUGCAAUUGAUACUGGCAGUCUAGAGUACAGUUGAGGUAGGCGGAAUUCGUGGUGUAGCGGUGAAAUGCUUAGAUAUCACGAAGAACCCCGAUUGCGAAGGCAGCUUACUAAACUGUGACUGACAUUGAUGCUCGAAAGUGUGGGUAUCAAACAGGAUUAGAUACCCUUGUAGUC
RNAcentral lists this ribosomal RNA (460 nucleotides) under uncultured bacterium. Its description in RNAcentral is "partial 16S ribosomal RNA". It matches the Rfam family "Bacterial small subunit ribosomal RNA", at positions 338 to 795 of the family's 1533-position model. The record is from RNAcentral.